GAUGAAGAACGUAGCGAAAUGCGAUAAGUAAUGUGAAUUGCAGAAUUCAGUGAAUCAUCGAAUCUUUGAACGCACAUUGCGCCCGCCAGUAUUCUGGCGGGCAUGCCUGUCUGAGCGUCAUUUCAACCCUCAUGCCCCUAGGGCGUGGUGUUGGGGAUCGGCCAAAGCCCGCGAGGGACGGCCGGCCCCUAAAUCUAGUGGCGGACCCGUCGUGGCCUCCUCUGCGAAGUAGUGAUAUUCCGCAUCGGAGAGCGAUGAGCCCCUGCCGUUAAACCCCCAACUUUCCAAGGUUGACCUCAGAUCAGGUAGGAAUACCCGCUGAACUUAAGCAUAACAAUAAGCGGAGGA
This 348-nucleotide unclassified non-coding RNA is filed under the name soil metagenome. Its description in RNAcentral is "partial contains 5.8S ribosomal RNA, internal transcribed spacer 2, and large subunit ribosomal RNA". The stretch from base 1 to 120 matches the Rfam family "5.8S ribosomal RNA", at positions 35 to 154 of the family's 154-position model. The record is from RNAcentral.